RNAcentral lists this unclassified non-coding RNA (212 nucleotides) under Hevea brasiliensis (rubber tree). Lineage: Eukaryota; Viridiplantae; Streptophyta; Magnoliopsida; Malpighiales; Euphorbiaceae. The record is from RNAcentral.
GCUAAUGAGUCCGGCGAUAAUGAUCCUGUCCGUGUCGGUGGCCCCACCAAUCCUCUCUUGGCCGACGGUGGUCUUUCCACUGUUAUAGCUAAGCCAAACGGCGGUUCUGGCGAGUUCCUUUCCUCUUCCUUGGGUCGCUGGCAGAAUAGAGGUUCCAAUCCGGAUCGGGGUUUGAUUUUGGCUUUUAAAACUAUAGCUACCAUGUCUGAUAG